Molecule: non-coding RNA, 1143 nt
Organism: Camelina sativa (false flax)
Lineage: Eukaryota; Viridiplantae; Streptophyta; Magnoliopsida; Brassicales; Brassicaceae
Source: RefSeq, a predicted model, not a curated record
AUUUUUCUUUCUCUUCAUUCUCUUUCUUCUCUCCAUCUCUUCCCGAAACUCUCUCGAAGCGUAGAGGAACCUGAAAUGGUACCUGCCAUUGGCGACUCCCUCUCCAGUCCAGUCCAAAUUGGGAUUCACGAUCGACUUCGUUUUCUUCUCUCCUAUCCGUCGCGCUUCUAUCGGUUCUCAGCGGACUCGUUUCCCGUACCGACUCAGCUCAGCAACCUUUCCGUCGCGAGCCGGGCCAUCCUCACUGGCAUCACAGCGCUUUCCUCGACGUCUGUGAGAGUGUUCGAUCCGAUGUCCGCCGUAUGCUUCACUCCCGUGCCGAGAUCACUUGUUACUGAGUUUUACUAAAAACAAAGGAUGAAUCAAAGCAUCCAUCGGUGUUUCAGGAGCUUUAUCGAUUCAGCUACCUUCUCACCAUUAUUUUUCUGUUUUCGUUAUGUGAUCAGUUUUCCUUCCCAUUAUCUGUUUAUGCCUUUCUGAUUUUGUAGUGUGCAUAUGUUUUAUGGUUAAUGCUAAUCACUUCUGCUGGAUAUGAAGUCAGUAUUAUGCAUAGGAGUUUGGAUGUUACAUAGUGGAGGUUCUGAUUCGUCCUGCUUGCAUACACUCCCCUAUAUUUGUACAUCAUGAGUUUGUGAGGUGGUUUUCUAUGUUUGUUACUUCUAGUGUAGAUUUCCGAGAAAGCAUAAACAGACUUUUCAUCAGGGAACUCAUCAGAUGAGGAGGGUUCAAAUGACACUCAUGGGAGAAUAACGUAGCAAUGGAUUUCUUAAAGUGGGUAUUUGACAACACAAUGGUCAAGGCCACGGAAGUGUUUGUGAAGAUUACAAAGGUUGUGAGCGAGCUUUUCAAUAGUUACAAUGACGAUGGUGUUAACAAGAAGGGGAAAGAUACCAAAUUCAACAAUUGGCUCGAGGAAAAGCUGAUGACCUCGCUCCUCCUCUCCAUUGUGGUUCUACUGGUCGUUAUGGUUUCUAGAGCCUGCAACAAUAAGUAAAAAUUAUAUUAUACUUAAAAACAUUUUUAUUUUGAAAUUGAUAUUUUUUAAAAAAUAAGAACUUCAAUUAGGGCAUCUGCAUUGGGAGAACAUUUUUGGGUGUUCUUAGAGUAAAAAUAUUAUGAAAAUAAUGUAAGAUCAUUAGUUUA